GUCAAGCCUGGCACCCAUCUUGUUUGCCUUUUCGUCCAGAUUGUUCUGCAGAGCUGGGGAUUGACUUCCGGGCCUCCCACAUGCUGGACUGGCAUUCUACCUCUGAACCACACUGUGCCCUGUGUUGGAUCCCCAGCUCCUUAUAAACAUCAGGCAUGGCAAAGCACGCCUGUAAUCCUAUUUCUUGGGAAACAGAAGCAGUGGAUCUGGAGUUGAAGAUGGAGUCUCCCAGAUCCCAGCAGUGACUCCCAAGGUCUCCAAGAAGACAAUGGACACAGCGAUGGGCCACUCCACCUGAACUAUGAUUUGACAGACACCACCCAGGGAGCACCUAUGGACUGCAAACUGCUGAGCUCUGGACUUGCUGAAAGCUGAAGUGAACCAGUCCAGCCGAUGUGAUUGCUCCCUGUCCCUUCACCUAGAUCAGCUAAUCAGAUGUUUCUGAUAAACACCCUGUGACCCAGCCUUUGGCUAGCCUUUCCUGGGCCCUGACAAUCAACACCCCAGUUUCAGCUGGAAGUAGUUACAGAAGAGAAUACAUUGCCCCUGCUUCCUUAACAGGCUGAAAAUCCUAAGUCAAAGGCCAAUUCCCUUUGGGGGAUCUCUGAGAAGAAGGAACCUGUUUUCUAUCCCAGGCAACAUAACCCUACUCCUUGGUAUAUACCUAUGUCCUCACAAGUUCAACAAGAGCACCCCACUGGCUGCCCUCACAUCAACUUGGUUUGCCUGUACCUUGACUUAACACCCUGCCUCUCCCUAGGACGUUCCACUGAGAAUCAGUUCAUAGUGCGCCUCAAAUCCUAUACUAUGAAAGGGAGGCAGGGGGAAUGCAUAUGGAGAUGACGGGCUUCUCUGCUCACGAGGAGGGCAUCUCCGGUUCUCAUCCCUCUCUUGAUAGGAGCAGCCUUAAUCACUGGGGACCGUAACUCUCGAACCCUAAACAAACAAACAAACCAACAGAGAUAUUUCUCACCUCCAUUCUUCCAUCUCUUUCCUAGAAAAUCAAAUUGACGUACUAGCUGAAAUGGUCCUGCAGAACUGCUGUGGGCUGGACCUAUUUUCUUUAAGCAAGGAGGUUUAUGCAUGGCCCUGAGAGAAGCAUGUUGCUUUUAUGCCGAUCAUUCAGGUGUUAUUAGAGAGAUCCCAACGAAAGUUAAAGAAAAUCUUCUCACUGAGCAGGAGGAAAGAAAACAGAGUUCCAGCUGGUACGAAUCACUUUUCAACUGGCUCUCCUGGUUGACAACCCUCGUUACAAGUUUAAUCGUUUCCCCAACCCUCCUGCUCCUUGUUCUACUGAGGGUCCCCUGUGUUUUCAGCACCACUGUGUGCUUUGUUCAAGAUCACAUAGGCGCUUUAAGCUCAUGAUUCUAAGGGCACAGUACAACCCCUUAUUUGAGCCCCUAGACAAAGGUGCAGCUCAGUCAUGAAGGCAUGAGGGGAAUAAAGGGAGCAGGCAAAAGCACCUUGGCCCGAGCGCUGCCAUUUUGACUUCAGACUCCAUUUAACCUAUAUGGUGAAAUAAAAUUCAGGUCUCCAAGCCCUAGGGGAGCUGAUAACUUUCCGA
Molecule: long non-coding RNA, 1564 nt
Organism: Peromyscus leucopus (white-footed mouse)
Lineage: Eukaryota; Metazoa; Chordata; Mammalia; Rodentia; Cricetidae
Exons: 3
Source: RefSeq, a predicted model, not a curated record